GCGGGGUUCCGGUGGGCGCGCGUUGAGGCUGCGGUCAUGGAGGGAGCAGGAGCUGGAUCCGGCUUCCGGAAGAAGCAGCAGUCCGCGGCGUGCGGCAGGCCCAGGCAGAAGACGCGCUCCGUGUGGACGUGGACCAGCUGGAGAAGCUCCUGGACUUCUAGGGAUCUCAGCCGUGGCUGAGGCCACCCCCAGAGGAGCCCCUGGUCCACAGAAGCAGGCCUUGUGUUUCCAGCGGCCUCUGAUAAGAGGCAGGGAAGGACCUGAAGGAUUUGGAGUUGAUUCAAACAAGAUCUCUGGGAGUCUCCAGCCUGUGCAGAAGGGGCAGGACUGCAGUGCACUGCGGGCCUUGGAGUGUCCAGUGGGGACACUGGUGUGGGAAGGGGCAGCACCUGGGGAGUCCCUGCCUCUCCUCCCUGGGACAAUAGUGUGCAUGCCACCCGGGGUCCUACAGGCAGGUGCUGGGAAAGGCCUGGCCAGCAGGUAGCCUGUGUGUUUGACAAACAGCAGCUGGCAGCGCUGCCUCCUGCCCACAUUCCUGCCACCCGACAUCAAAGCUGGCGUGUGACCUUUCCAGCCAUGCGAUAUUCCCCUUGGAAGAUGCUUCCCCAGGCUAUAAAUUUGUUCUCACAAAGCAACAUCAAUAAAUCAAAACUGUCUCUCCC
Molecule: long non-coding RNA, 662 nt
Filed under: Homo sapiens (human)
Lineage: Eukaryota; Metazoa; Chordata; Mammalia; Primates; Hominidae
Description: non-protein coding lnc-DCXR-2:1
Source: RNAcentral